This 1888-nucleotide long non-coding RNA is filed under the name Homo sapiens (human). RNAcentral's name for it is "HSALNT0342175". Lineage: Eukaryota; Metazoa; Chordata; Mammalia; Primates; Hominidae. The record is from RNAcentral.
GCGUCUGGGCGGCUGCGCUGCUGUUGUGGUAGGACUGGAGACAGAGUCUUGCUCUAUUGCCCAGGCUGCAACUGGUGUGAUCUCGGCUCACUACAACCUCUGCCUCCUGGGUUCAAGCGAUUCUCCUGCCUCAAGCUCCCAAGUAGCUGGGAUUACAAGCAUGCACCACCAUGCCUGGCUAAUUUUUGUAUUUUUAGUGGAGACGGGGUUUCGCCACAUUGGCCAGGGUGGUCUUGAACUCCUGACCUCAAGUGAUCCACCUGCCUUGGCCUCCCAAAGUGCUGGGAUUAUAAGCAUGAGCCACUGCACCCAGCCUUAUACUGAACUUUCAAUGGGUUCAAUUCCACUAGGAGCAUAAAGGCCACUGCAUAUGAGUUGUGGAAAGAAGAGAUUAGAAGAAGGAAGAACUUGAGAUGAGUUCCUCCCUUCAACAUUCUGUCUCCUCCUACCUAGCAUCUUCUUUCUUUUAGUCUUUCUAGAAUGUCCAUCUGUUUUUGGCCAUUGCGGAGAGAGAAGCUGAGCUUUAAAGGAGUAGGAGCUUCAAAGGCGUAGGAGCUUCAAAAUUCUUGUUUCUUCAUGUUUGAUCACCCUUCUAAACCUGUCUUCUGUUCCUUCUGCUAUUCUUUUUUCUUAGAGCAUAGGAAAGGGGAGCUUUUAAAUUAAUACUUAAAGCAUGGAAAAAAAGAACUUGAGAAGAAAGUAAAACAAGGGAGAUGAGGCUAGUAAAGUAAGGAAAAUGAAGAGGAAGAGGAGGAAGGGUUAGCUUCUAAAUUCCAAGUCAAAUUGAUAUGGAACAGGCAAGCCGCUUGUCUUACUUAAACUUCAGAAAAGGAUCUGCUGAAACUUGAUAGAAAUGGAAAGGGAAAUCCUUGGGGUGGGGAACCUCCAAACAUUAGUAAUGAUAUUGAACAACUCAAAGUAUUGAGGAAAUCUGCAGGCUACAUGCCUGAAGAUUACCCAUGCAGAUAGACCAAAAGGAUUAGAAUUAUCUGUUGAUAUUAGUAAUAUUUAUUGACAUCUAGCUAGUAUUGGUAAUUUUAAGUUUUAGAUUAAUUUCUUUGGUAAUAGCUAUGAUAUAUUUUAUAGACAAGAAUUAUAUCUAUAGGCUUGCUAUCAUAGGCUCUUUUAAUCAGCAUUAAUUUAGUCUACUGAUUUUUAGCACAUUUGAAUCAUUCACUUAUGCUAGGUAACUCAUUGCAAAAUAAAAAGAUGAUUCCUGUAUGUAUGGCAGCUAUACAUUAAGGAGGAGUCUACCAGAAUAUGAAAAAGUCAGCUGACCUAAAUAUUGCUGAGACAAAGGAAAACCCACUCCCUUGGAGGAGCAUGACCUUUUCCUGUAAUUCUUCCCACUGCUGUUGUUGAGCUCCUUGGAUCCUGGCUCCUGGACACCAUCAUCAAGAAGACUUUAUGGAUGGGCUGUCCACCCACUGAGAGAAGAGGAGCAUCAGCUACAGUUUCUCUCUAGAUUGCCUUCUUCAUUUUGAGUAAUGACUGUCAGCAGGGUCAGAUUAAACACAAAACAACUGGACAAUUGCUUGGAGGACUAAACUAUAAGGGCACUAACAUGUCAAUAGUAGGCUAACACAUCCAUGGAAAAUAUAUUUACCAGCUCUUCUCUCAGGGAGGAUUCUGUGUGGGGUUGGAAGUAAUGAUUUGUUAAAUUCCUUAGGGGUAGAAAGUAGGGCAUAAUCAGAAUAUAGAGGAAUAUGCUGUUUGACUUCAGGGUUUCUGUUUUUCUUACUAGGAUAUAUAAAACAGGGACUCUAGCUAGAUUGUUUAUGACCACAGAGGGUAGGCUGAGUGCUCCCAUGAUCUUCCUGCUUGGUUCUUGCCCAUACAGAGGUCAGCCUUUCCUCUAAUAAAGAUUGAACAAGUAGUGGUCUGAGGG